GCCCCCCGAAUUGUGGUCUAGAAAGGCGCCAUCGGCCGCGCGCGUCGCCCAAAUCCCUUGGAACAGGGUAUCGGAGAAGGUGAGAAUCCUGUGCCGUGGCGCGUUGCGGCCUCACGAUGCGUCCUUGUCGAGUCGGGUUGCUUGGGAUUGCAGCUUGAAGUGGGUGGUAAAUUCCAUCUAAAGCUAAAUACUGGCGAGAGACCGAUAGCGAACAAGUACCGUGAGGGAAAGAUGCAAAGAACUUUGAAAAGAGAGUCAAAGAGUGCUUGAAAUUGGCAGGAGGAAACCCGGUUGCACCCGGUGUCGGCGCGUCGACUCAGCCGUCUGUGCAUGCCUGUGGUGACUUUGGCACCUUUGGCGGUGCUCGGACGGUGCACUUUGACGCGCCGGGUCAGCCGCGGCCCGUCGGGCGUGAGAUGUCCACUCGCGAGGCUUCGGCGAGCGUGUGGGGGCGGCGCGCGGCGAGCGUCGGCUGACGGAACGGGUGCCACCGACCCGUCUAGAAACACGGACCAAGGAGUCUGACACGUGUGCGAGUACCCGGGUUGGCAAGCCCGCGUGCGGAAUGAAAGUGAAGGGCAUGCCCUGACAACCGACCUUGACCUUCUGCGAAGGGUUUGAGUGGAGCACAUGUGUCGGGACCCGAAAGAUGGUGAACUAUGCCUGAGGAGGGUGAAGCCAGAGGAAACUCUGGUGGAGGCUCGUAGCGAUACUGACGUGCAAAUCGUUCGUCGAAUCUUGGGUAUAGGGGCGAAAGACUAAUCGAACCAUCUAGUAGCUGGUUCCCUCCGAAGUUUCCCUCAGGAUAGCUUGAGCGCAGCGUACGGUUUUGU
Molecule: ribosomal RNA, 833 nt
Filed under: Ochrosphaera neapolitana
Lineage: Eukaryota; Haptophyta; Coccolithales; Hymenomonadaceae
Description: eukaryotic LSU rRNA
Rfam family: Eukaryotic large subunit ribosomal RNA
Source: RNAcentral